AACGAACGCUGGCGGCAUGCCUAACACAUGCAAGUCGAGCGAGAUCUUCGGGUCUAGUGGCGCACGGGUGCGUAACGCGUGGGAAUCUGCCCUUUGGUUCGGAAUAACGGUUGGAAACGACUGCUAAUACCGGAUGAUGACGAAAGUCCAAAGAUUUAUCGCCAGAGGAUGAGCCCGCGUAGGAUUAGCUAGUUGGUGUGGUAAAGGCGCACCAAGGCGACGAUCCUUAGCUGGUCUGAGAGGAUGAUCAGCCACACUGGGACUGAGACACGGCCCAGACUCCUACGGGAGGCAGCAGUGGGGAAUAUUGGACGAUGGGCGAAAGCCUGAUCCAGCAAUGCCGCGUGAGUGAUGAAGGCCUUAGGGUUGUAAAGCUCUUUUACCCGGGAUGAUAAUGACAGUACCGGGAGAAUAAGCUCCGGCUAACUCCGUGCCAGCCGCCGCCGUAA
This 449-nucleotide ribosomal RNA is filed under the name uncultured bacterium. Its description in RNAcentral is "partial 16S ribosomal RNA". It matches the Rfam family "Bacterial small subunit ribosomal RNA", at positions 29 to 523 of the family's 1533-position model. The record is from RNAcentral.